AUGCCCUCUGGGAGGGCUGUAGAGCCAGCCAUGAGGCUAAGGGAGAGGAAUCUCUUCCCCCAGCAGACUCUGCCCUAUGCUCUGUCCUCCUGGCUCCCAGGACCAGCAGUUCUCUGGUUGGAACACACAUUGGAAGGGUCUAGCUGUGGCCCUUAUAUGGAAGAGGGCCGAUUUCCCUGCCUGGUUAUCCAAAGUGCCCUCACAAAGCCUCUGCGUGAGUCCAGGGGCACCGCAGGGAGCCUUGGCAGACCCAGGGACUGCUUACUGUCUUUUGUGACUUUGGUAGGUGAACCUGGGGUGUGGUUUGAAAUUGACCACGUUGGUCAUUUUUAUGAAUCGAUUUGUGCAAACAAACCCGUGGGAAGUGUUCCUAAUAUAAACAGCCUGAGUUAUUGCCAUCUCACCUUCAUCUGACCCCCGGGAGCUCUAAAGAAAAGCCCAUCAUACUCACCUGGCCUUCAGCCCGAACCAGGCAAUUAGGCCGCUAGCCAGGAUGAGACUGAAAGAGAAGGAGCCUCCAAGUCUGAUGACACCCGCUGUUCCCUUGGCUUGUGCUAUGCACUGACCAUCGUAUCUCUUGUAUAAGUGAGGCAAGUAUGAUCAUCUCCAUUUUAUAAGACAGGAAAUUGAAACUUGGAGUUCAAUGUAUUUCCCACGAUCACACAACUAUGUAAGCUGCAGUGUUAGGAUUCAAACCCAGCUCUCUCUCCAAAACCUACUCGUUAGCCAGCCCCUGCCUCUUCUUGUACUUAGCUUUGGGUUUCAGGUUCUUGACUCAUAGUCUGUGUGAACUCCCACCUUCUAGACUUGGGCAGUGCACAGCCUGCACAUCUGUAGAGUGGCUCAAACCAAGUUUAAUUGGCUUGAAACCAUCCCAAGGCCAAGAUUCUAAACCUGGCCUAAAAUCUAGAGUUUUGCUGCUCCAAAUAUAAUCCCUGCCCUGAAGGGUCAGCAGUGUAACCUUUUUAGGAAUGUAAACUUGGGGGGCCCACUCCAGAUCUAAUGAAUCACAAUCUUCAAACCUGGAGACCAGGAAUCUAUACCCAGGGCUUCUCCACUUUGAUGUGCACUGAAAUCACCUAGGGAUCUUAUUAAAUGCAGAUUCUGAUUCAGGAGGGCUAAGGAGAUCAUGUUGAGCUUCUGCUUCUUUAGCCAGCUCUGGGAUGAUGUGAAUGCCCCGAGCCACAUUCGGAAUAACAUGGCUCUACAUUAGCUGUUCUCAAACUUAAGCCUGCAUUCAAAUCACUUGGAGGGCUUCUUAAUACACAGAUUUCUGGGCCACAUCCCAAGAGAAUCUGAUUCAGAGGGUCUGGGAUGAGGCCCAAGACUUUACACUUCUAACAAGUCUCCAGGUGAUGCACAGGGACCCCAGUUUGAGAACCACUGUUCUAGCCUACCAGAACUUUCUUAAAUUAGACAAUUAACCUCAUUGCUUGGUAUCUCCGUGAGCUCUACUCCAUCCCCUAAUCCUGUAAUUUUAGAGCUGAAAGAGACUUCAGAUACCAGAGGCAAAGCCAGGAUUAAGCAUCCUGUCUCUAUUCAGCAUUGUUUACUCUCCUGCUGGCUCUGAAGGCUCCAUAAAUUCUCCAGCAUCCAGCAACUGCAGUAUUUUGGGGGAGCUCUCCAUCUUGAGCCAGCUUUGCAGGCGCUUGAAUCCCAAUCCGACACAUAUGUCAUAGGCACAAUCCGUGAAAACACAGGGUCCUCCUACUUCACAGUUCUGUGAAGAUAGAGCUUUGGAAAAAACCAGCAGCCAGGCUGGCAGCCGUGGUGGAGAGAAAAUGCAGCAGCUUGUAGGCAAACCCAGACAGACAAG
This 1816-nucleotide long non-coding RNA is filed under the name Canis lupus familiaris (dog). Its description in RNAcentral is "lncRNA (ENSCAFG00845024795.1)". The record is from RNAcentral. Lineage: Eukaryota; Metazoa; Chordata; Mammalia; Carnivora; Canidae.